CCCUUAGACGUUCUGGGCCGCACGCGCGCUACACUGACCAGUGCAACAAGCAUCCGUCCUUGGCCGACAGGCCCGGGCAAUCUUUGAACGCUGGUCGUGAUGGGGAUAGACUUUUGCAAUUUUUGGUCUUCAACGAGGAAUUCCUAGUAAACGCAAGUCAUCAACUUGCAUUGAUUACGUCCCUGCCCUUUGUACACACCGCCCGUCGCACCUACCGAUUGAAUGGUCCGGUGAAGCCUCCGGAUUGGCGCGCACCUCGGUGCCGCCGAGAAGUUGGCUAAACCUUACCAUAUAGAGGAAGGUGAAGUCGUAACA
This 315-nucleotide ribosomal RNA is filed under the name uncultured eukaryote. RNAcentral describes it as "partial 18S ribosomal RNA". It matches the Rfam family "Eukaryotic small subunit ribosomal RNA", at positions 1470 to 1796 of the family's 1831-position model. The record is from RNAcentral.